This 23-nucleotide microRNA is filed under the name Gadus morhua (Atlantic cod). RNAcentral describes it as "Gmo-Novel-2_5p (mature (guide))". The record is from RNAcentral. Lineage: Eukaryota; Metazoa; Chordata; Actinopteri; Gadiformes; Gadidae.
UGCACUGCAUAUACUUUUGAAAG